RNAcentral lists this ribosomal RNA (506 nucleotides) under uncultured bacterium. RNAcentral's name for it is "partial 16S ribosomal RNA". It matches the Rfam family "Bacterial small subunit ribosomal RNA", at positions 28 to 523 of the family's 1533-position model. The record is from RNAcentral.
GAUGAACGCUAGCUACAGGCUUAACACAUGCAAGUCGAGGGGUAACGAGAGGAAAGCUUGCUUUCCUUGUCGACGACCGGCGCACGGGUGAGUAACGCGUAUCCAACCUGCCCCCAACUAGGGAAUAACCUUGCGAAAGUAAGACUAAUACCCUAUAAUUUCCUCAGAUGUCAUCUGACGAGGAAUAAAGAUUUAUCGGUUGUGGAUGGGGAUGCGUCUGAUUAGCUUGUUGGCGGGGUAACGGCCCACCAAGGCAACGAUCAGUAGGGGUUCUGAGAGGAAGGUCCCCCACAUUGAAACUGAGACACGGUCCAAACUCCUACGGGAGGCAGCAGUGAGGAAUAUUGGUCAAUGGGCGGAAGCCUGAACCAGCCAAGUAGCGUGCAGGAUGACGGCCCUAUGGGUUGUAAACUGCUUUUAUACAAGAAUAAAGUUAGCCACGUGUGGUUAUUUGUAGGUACUGUAUGAAUAAGGACCGGCUAACUCCGUGCCAGCAGCCGCGGUAA